RNAcentral lists this ribosomal RNA (467 nucleotides) under uncultured bacterium. RNAcentral's name for it is "partial 16S ribosomal RNA". It matches the Rfam family "Bacterial small subunit ribosomal RNA", at positions 28 to 507 of the family's 1533-position model. The record is from RNAcentral.
GACGAACGCUGGCGGCGUGCUUAACACAUGCAAGUCGAACGGAAAGGCCUCUUUCGGGGGGUACUCGAGUGGCGAACGGGUGAGUAACACGUGAGUAACCUGCCCUUGACUUUGGGAUAACUUCCGGAAACUGGGGCUAAUACCGGAUAGGAGCUCCUGCUGCAUGGUGGGGGUUGGAAAGUUUCGGCGGUUGGGGGUGGACUCGCGGCUUAUCAGCUUGUUGGUGGGGUAGUGGCUUACCAAGGCUUUGACGGGUAGCCGGCCUGAGAGGGUGACCGGCCACAUUGGGACUGAGAUACGGCCCAGACUCCGACGGGAGGCAGCAGUGGGGAAUAUUGCACAAGGGGUGGAAGCCUGAUGCAGCAACGCCGUGGGCGGGAGGACGGCCUUCGGGUUGUAAACCGCUUUCGCUCAUGACGAAGCUUUGUGUGACGGUAGUGGGUAAAGAAGCACCGGCUAACUACGUG